UACGUAGGGCGCAAGCGUUGUCCGGAAUUAUUGGGCGUAAAGAGCUCGUAGGCGGCUUGUCACGUCGAUUGUGAAAGCCCGAGGCUUAACCUCGGGUCUGCAGUCGAUACGGGCUAGCUAGAGUGUGGUAGGGGAGAUCGGAAUUCCUGGUGUAGCGGUGAAAUGCGCAGAUAUCAGGAGGAACACCGGUGGCGAAGGCAGGUCUCUGGGCAUUAACUGACGCUGAGGAGCGAAAGCAUGGGGAGCGAACAGG
Molecule: ribosomal RNA, 253 nt
Filed under: uncultured bacterium
Lineage: Bacteria
Description: partial 16S ribosomal RNA
Rfam family: Bacterial small subunit ribosomal RNA
Source: RNAcentral